Molecule: long non-coding RNA, 458 nt
Filed under: Fukomys damarensis (Damara mole-rat)
Lineage: Eukaryota; Metazoa; Chordata; Mammalia; Rodentia; Bathyergidae
Description: lncRNA (ENSFDAG00000031614.1)
Source: RNAcentral
GCAGGACACAGGUGUGUGUGCCUUCGAGUGUGCGGAGGUGUGCACGUGUGAUGCGUUACAAUGCAGCGUCGUGUGCGUGCGUGGCUGGACAUGCAUGUGCCACGUGUGUGCUUGCACUUUGCAGGUGCGUGGCGGGUGCACAGCGCACAGGUGCGUGUGCCCGUGUGAGCGCGCGUGGGUGUGGACAUCGAGUGGGGGCGCACGCACCGCGCACGCAUGAGCGGGCUGCCUCCGUGUCGCACACGUCUGUGCACGCAUGAGCCCCUGCUUCCUCGGGUUAUUGGGCACCGCGCUCGCUCCGCGCCCUGGGCCCAGGCUGACGGCACCCAGUGGCCCACGGACCUCCAGGAGCGGGGAGGGCUGGACUCAGAGGUGUCCUUUGUCCCGCACAGGUGGAGCGGAGACGUCCUCUUACGACAGCCCGCAAGGCAACACCAUAGCCCGGAUUGUGUCCCCCA